Molecule: long non-coding RNA, 800 nt
Organism: Cornus florida
Lineage: Eukaryota; Viridiplantae; Streptophyta; Magnoliopsida; Cornales; Cornaceae
Exons: 2
Source: RefSeq, a predicted model, not a curated record
UCAUUUCCACUCAGACGGCUCCCCAUUCUUUCCUUACUCUCGGUAUCACUCUCAAAGCAGUUCUCUCACACACUCUCUCUCAAAAACCUAAUCACCAUUGUAUCCAUCAAGAUGAACUGGGACUCAAAGGCGAUUUUGGAAAGACCCAAUCACCCCUGUCUCCGUUAAGGUCACCAGCGAGUCAAAGGCUAUUCGUAUGUUCUCUUUACCGGUUGCAAAGCGAAGCUUUCGACGGUGGGUAUUCAACUACGUAAAGGGGUGAUUCAAAGAUGUUUUUGGAAUUUCAAGCACAAGCAACUUCGUUCGAUUUAUGAAUCCUCAUUACAAGGGGAGAAGAUUCGAAGCAACUACACUCGAUUCGUGAUCCUGAUGUGGCUUUUUGUGGUGUUGAUCUUAACAAAUAGCUACAAUCUAUCUUCGGUGGUGCAACAAAUUUGGUCUUUUGUCACAAAAGACCGAAUUUCUUGUAGUGUAUUCUUUUAGUCACUUAAGACCGAAUUUCUUAUAGUGUAUUCUUUUAGUCACUUAAUUUGAUUUAAUAUCUCAAAUUAAUAAUCUUUUUUAUUUUUAUUUCUUCAUACCCUUAAAUGGGAUUAUUUUUUUUUAUAUAAAAAAGUUUAGUAUUAGUUAAGUGAUAUGAUCUGGGAUGAUUAAGAAAUUCAAAGCCUAAUUCAGAUAGUAAGUUUGGUUCCUAUUUUAGGUUGUCGUUUUUAUGGGAUUGGGCACUUGAUUGGGUUUGUAAUGCGGAUAAUUUAUCAGGCAUCUCUUUUUUGGUUAUUGUUAAUUUUUUGUUACCAUUA